This is a long non-coding RNA of Equus caballus (horse), 2812 nucleotides long. Lineage: Eukaryota; Metazoa; Chordata; Mammalia; Perissodactyla; Equidae. The record is from Ensembl.
CUCCCAGGGUUUUUUCUAGUGCUUUUAAGACUUCAUGUUUAAUAUCUGGGAUUCAUCCAGAUGAAGACGGUGAGAUAGAGACCCACUUCCUUUUCCCCAGCUCCGCAGUGUUUUACUGACAGAAGACUGCAGAAUUUUGUAAUGACUUGGUAACUUAUCUUUCUCCCCAACUGAUUUUGAAGUGUGUCAGAGCAGAAACCUUGGUUUCAUGUUUUUGUUUCGUAAUCCACCCUGCCCCUUUAACCCACUUCAGCCGAUUCACCAGAACUUCACCUAGCGUCUGGCAAUUAAACAGUUCUGAUUCUGCAUUUCUUGACUGCUGGGGAGGUAAGAUCCGCCUGGGUUAAGCCAGGCCUACCCGGGGAGCGGCUGAAAAUGAGGCUGGACCUUCUGGGCCUUUUCGUUAAACUCAGGCUCGUACUAACUAGCCGAGCCAAGUGAGUCACACCGACACACGUAGAGGAUGGCGUCCCAAGGGGAGAGAGUUAUCUCGGAAGGAGCCGAGCCUGCCUGGAGCCAGAGCUUCUCGGCUGGCACUGCAGACAAGCAGCUGCUGCCACAGCAAACCACAGAGCAACAAGCAGCCCGGCUUGCGCAAGUACAUAGUUGUAUGUUCUAGUUGUGAGUGCCUCUGGUUGUGCUAUGUGGGACACCGCCUCAACAUGGCCUGAUGAGUGGUGCCAUGUCCACGAGCAGGAUCCAAACUGGCGAAACCCUGGGCCACCGAAGCAGAGCACGCGAACUUAACCACCACGGGGCCGGCCCACUGGCGUUUCCAUCUUUGUGCUUCUCAGAGAGCACAGUCAGCGUGCGUGGCAUUCACCCUGUGCCGCUGUAGCUCCUGAAGACACGAUGAUGAGAAAAACAGGCGUGGUCCCCAACCUCGCAGAGCCUCCUUUCCUGAGGGGAAGAUGCAGAUGUGGGAAACCAGGGAAAGCGGAGAAAUGGCAUCUCAACCAUUCUGUGGAGGAGAAGAGAGGGAAGUUCACUGGACAAAGGACUGCUGGAAGAAGGCAGAAGGGGCACGGACUCCACGUGGAGGAGCAGCAUCUCGGACGCCCUCGAACUGCCCUUCCUCCGUCCAUGCCUGGGAGCUAGAAGCCAGCCACCAGUGCACGUGACUUGAGAAAGAGCCCACGGCGGUAAAGAGUGUGGAGCAUCUGCCAGAACUAAAGGAGCGUGAUGAUGACCAGACUCAGCAGGCCCCGUGGGACCGGGCAUCCAACUGCCUUCACAGUUGGUGGCAGCUUCAGAAACGUUGUUCCCUGAAUCCACAUGCAUCCGUUUUCCAGGGCACAAAACCAGCCUGGGAAGGUCCCCAUGACACCACCAACAGGCAUUAUUACCACCUGGAGGACCCCUGACUACGCUGUUGUUGCCCAACCUUUUGAACCAUAUGGCCUCCUGUGUAAAUAUAAAAAUACGUUAAGCAUCAGGAUUCAAACCCAACCAAACCCAACCAAAGGGUUCUGAUUUGAUCUGGAAAAGCAUUUUGCCUGAAUGGUGACAGCAGCAUGAACUGGUGGCAUGCAGCAUGGGAGAGGGCCAUUGAGGCCAUUUUGACGUGAAGGCCACUGGGCUUGUCUUUGAGCCACAGGUGACCUCCCCAAGACUGUGACCCGCGUUCCCCUCACCACCACCAGUGAGAUGACCCUAGUUCUCCGGAGCCACAAAAGACAACAACAAAUAAAAUAACAUGUAAUGCAAAAGAUACGCCGGUAGAGCAACAUGUAUGCAGACUUACAGACGUAAGUUGACAGGCACGCCCCUUGGCAGAAUAUUCUCUGGGGCACCCUACAACCACACGUCUACACUCUGUAGGGCCCCUCAGACAAGGUUUGUGAAGUGUGGCAGUGUGGCCUGGCCACCGCAUCUUCUGACAGUGAAUCCUAGUUCUUUAACACACAGCAGCAGCUGCCGCCCGAAGAUGGCCGGGAUGUGAUUGUGGUGGCUUCUCUUCCAAGAGGCCAGUCACACGAGGUCUCACCUCUGAGUCAGAAAUAUUUACUUCUGCUUCUUCAGAACUCCCACCAAAAAGAGAAAAACCACUCUCAGAAGCUCUGUUCCAGCUCACAAGUCCCUGGGGCAUAAACCAGGGCUGUGAGCAGUGGCCGGGUGCCUGGCUGGGUCUUCAGCCUCCCGUGGCGUCUGCCAACACCGAGCUCCUGGGGAGGGCUCCUGGGCCUUCGGUUUAAAGGUUUUCUUUGGUGUGGUGGGAAGACAGGAUGAAAACAGAAAAGAAAUGGAAAAACGGGAAACCGUGGCAUGUGUAAGGAAAUGAGAGGUAUGCACGGAGCGCUUUUGUGCAGCCUGAAGCGUGAUGGUUGUCAAGAGGAGAAACACCCGUAUGAUGGCUUGGGUUGCAAGCUGAACUAGCCACUUUUUCGUGGAACACAAUUUUUACUUGAAAGAAUGACUGACAGACAAACUGUGGUUAUUCAGACUUGGGUAUCUGGCAGACAUUUGAUCAAAAAUGAACAAAGUGAGCCUGUCACUGCAAGGAAAACAACUGAUGGGAUUUGUUGCCAAUAGCACAACUUUAGCUUUCAAAUGAAACUUCGAGUUUGGGAAAACCAGAGCUUGCAGCUGCCCAAUAAUGAAAGGGCUCUGAUGAGAAUGCUGUGACAUGGACAAAUUGAUUUUUGAUAUUGUAUAAUGAAAUUGUCAAAUUAGAAUGAUUUGUAUAAUUUGGUGAACCAAUGAAUUUUUAUCCGUGCAUGAUUUUGUAACAUCAUACAUUUUGGUACUUUGGCUGAAAUACAAUGAUGGCCACUGGAAUGUCGUCGCUGCAGUGAAUUGUCGUCUCUCCUAC